Molecule: ribosomal RNA, 436 nt
Filed under: Gallus gallus (chicken)
Lineage: Eukaryota; Metazoa; Chordata; Aves; Galliformes; Phasianidae
Description: partial 12S ribosomal RNA
Source: RNAcentral
ACCACUUCCCCGUCACCCUACAGCACCGCCCGUCACCCUCACACACCGCCCGUCACCCUCACACACCGUCCGUCACCCUCACACACCGCCCGUCACCCUCACACACCGCCCGUCACCCUCACACACCGCCCGUCACCCUCACACACCGCCCGUCACUCUCACACACAGCCUAUCUACCUCACACACCCACCACAUCACUCUCACGAACCAGCCAGUCUGCCGUCACAAUACCCCCUUGAUAAUCAACACAGGUCAAGGUAUCCUCAAUGGGGUGGGAGAAAUGGGCUACAUUUUCUAACAUAGAAAAAACGAAAAAGGACGUGAAACCCGCCCUUAGAAGGAGUAUUUAACAGUAAAGUGAGAUCAUACCCCCUAAGCUCACUUUAAGACGGCUCUGAGGCACGUACACACCGCCCGUCACCCUCACACACCGCCC